UUCCUUCAGCUUUUCCAAGUCCUGAGUCAGACACGUGUGCAACUCUGGGGUGAAAGACACCAGCUUCUUCUGCAGAUUACCUGUAUCAUUUGGGUUUGAAGCAUAUUCUGAUGUGUCUUUGUGAAUACCAGUUUAUUCUCAAGGAUUUUAGGUUGUCUUUUCUUUUCUUUUUUUUUUUUUUCUAUUUCGUUUAGAGCUUUUCUUCCUGAUGGCUUAUCUACCGAUCAAAGCAACUUCUACCUCACCAGCAGAUACAGAGGCAACUUCUUCCAUAGAUUUCUUCACCAGUUUUCCUUAGCUGUCUCCUUGGAAAGCAGAUACCAUGUCAUGGAAAUGCCAUAGGAAAAAAUGUGAGGUCUCCAGUCAACCGACCACAUGGAAUUGAAACCUGUCAACAAACAAGUAGUGAGUUUGGAAGCAGAUCCUCCAACCCCAUUUGAGCCUCAUGAGAGACCCUGAGACUAAAACACAAGCUAAGCCACUUCUGGAUUCCUGACAAACAGAAACUAAGAGGAGUCCCAUCAAAUUUUAGUCACAAAAUUAAAGGGGAAAAGGAAAAAGGAAGGAGCAGAAUGAUGCAGUAGAAGAGUCCACUGAUCACUGUCCCCCCACCGACAAGGACACCAAUUUAACAACUAUCUACACAGAAGAAAGACAGAAAGAAAGAAAAAAAAAAAAACACCUUCAUGAGAACCAGAACCAAAAAUCAGAUGAGCACUCAUAGUAGCUGGUUCUAACUUCACAAUGUUGAAAGAAGCACUGAAGAGAGAGAAAAAACACUGAAAUGCCUAUGCCACCCUGCCCCCACCCCCACCCUUCUGCAGUGGCAGCAUGGGACAGAGAGCAUCUCUGGGCCCUGGAGAAGAGAGAACACAGUAAUUGUGAGGCAAUGAACUCAGUGCUGUCCUGGUAGAUCAGAAAGGAAAUCUGGACCAAACUCAGCUAAUGCCCAUCCACAGAGGGAGGAUUUAAAUCAGCCCUAACCAGAGGGAAAUUACUUAUCCCAGCUACCUGAACUUGAGUUCCUGAAAACCUCCCCUCCAAAGGCUACAGUGCUCUGUGUCUCCAAGUAAACUUGAAAGGCAGUCUAAGCCAUAAGAACUGCAACCCUUAGGUGAGUCCUAGUGCUGAACUAGGCCCAGAGACAGUGGACUAGGGGACACGUCACAUACUGAGAUAUAAGCUGGGGCCACCAAGGGAAUGCUGGCAUUAUCCCUUCCCUAACCCCAGGCUGCACAGCUUGUGGCUCUAAAAGAGACCCCUUUCUUCCUCUAGAGAAGAGGACAGGGAAGAACUUUGUCUUGCAUAUUGGAUACCAGCUCAACCACAGCAGGAUAGGACACCAGUCGGGGUCAUGAGGAAGCAGUUCCAGGCCCUAGCUCCCAGGUGCCAUUUCUAGACACAUGUGCUGCCUUAAAGGAAAGGAGUCAGUCUUGACAGCAUUCAACAGCUGCUAACUGAAGAACCCUUGGACCCCGAACAACGAGCCUGGAUACCCAGAUACUAUGUCAAGUGUCUUGGGUAAGCCUCUGAGACUUGCUGGCUUUAGGUACAGCAUGGUCACAGGAGUGUAGAGCACAAAAGUAGCCUGAUGGUAUUCCUGAUUCCAGGACCUGACCCUUGGAUGGCAUUUCUGAAACCUGCCCUGAAGCAGAGGGGAACCCAGUACCCUGAAAGAACUUUUGGGAACUUAUUUGCAAAGAAGUCCCCGCCAUAAAGAUCUAUAAUCUUUUCAACAACCUAUUUGGGAAAAUGCAUGAUAGGGCCGUGAAAAACAUUAUGUUCUAAGACAAAGGCCUAAUAUUAUCAUGAGCAGCCUAGAGUGAUGGAGAGAACACUAAAUGCUGACUGGGUGCUGUUUUCAAUGUGAUCAUCAAGUGGCCAUGUGACCUUCAAUGGAUGCCAGCUUUCCAUGAGGCUUCAACUCCUCAUUAACGAAUGAGCAAAAUAAUACUUACCUCAACUUCUUUCUAGGGCUAUAGAGAAAAAAAUGUUUAGAAAGAAUGUAAUAUUUUAAGAGAGCAUAUUGUUCUUUAUUGCCAUAAUAAAAGUAAUCAUAAUCUACAUUAUGAGGAUCACCUUGGUAUAGUAUUAAGCAUGACACUGAGAAACAGGCGAUGAGAGUUUCAGUUAUGCCUUCUGAGUUUAUUAUUGGUUGACCUUGGAAAAGCUCCUUAACUUCUCUGCAUCUCUUUUGCUGCUUUUGUAAAAAGAAAAUGAAAAGACAAUACAUUAAUCAUGGCAGGAAACUGGAAAUUACAAUCUUUCCAGGUUAAAACCACAUGUUUUGAAGUAAAAUCUUUUAGUCUAAGAUUUUUUUAAGAUAAUGGAUAAUGAAUUUUCAAUAAUAAUAAUAGCAUAUUCUCAAUAAUAAUAAUACUUAAAUAUAUUGAACUUCUACAUUAUUUAGGAAAUAUGCUACUUUAUAUGUAUGUUAUUUAGUCUUCAGAAAAAAACACUCUGAGAGAUAUUAUUUUUGUCAUUUCACCACUAAGGAAUCUGAAUUUCAAAGGUUAAGUAACCUUAUCAAACUCAUAGAGAGACUAGCAAUAAGUUUGAGAUUUAAAUACAGUAUGAUUCUAAAGCACAGGUUUUGAACCAUCAUGUUCCAAUAUUCUCAAUAUAAUAUAAUAGCUCUGGGUAUGAAUAAACAGUUUCAGUUUGAGUCUGUAAAAGAUCAGUGGUAAUUCAAGAACAAAAACAAUUUAGUCUUUAAAAGACACAACAGUUGUGCCCUACAUGAUAUUUUACCCCUCUUUAUACUUUAUUUACACUGUGCCCAGCAUAUAGGAGCUGGAUGUUUUAUACUUGAAACAGGGUUAAUAGCACUUGGUUAUAUGAUUUGACAGUCAGCUUAUAUGUCCAUUCACCUCACUUGAGACUUCUAGACCACACUGCCAAAAUAUCCAUUUUAGUUAUGAGAAAAAAUAUAUUAGAGAACUGUGGAGAGAGGGAACCAAAGUUAGUUUAGGCAUGAAAUUGUUCUGAGCUGAGAAUUUUGCCCCUAGGAAUUUUAAGCAAAUAUGGAUCCACUCCUCCAUGAAUUAGAAACAUUUGUAGUUUCCUACAUAGUGCAGACCUGAGGAUUUCUUUUAUUCUUUUGUUCUUUAUUCUUUAAUUAGAAGAAUUAAAUUGAAUGGUUCCUGCGAGACUUAUGGCAGAUUGUACUUUCCAAUAUAGCUACAACAAUAUUUCCCAACACUUAUGCUCAACUGCAAUGUAAUCUUGUCUUUUGGAAACUGCAGAGGAUUGGAAAAUUGGCAGAAAAACAGUUGUAUAUAUUACAUGUCACAUGUUACAUGUUACAUGAUUCAGUCAUUGGGUGAGGUGACAGCAGAUCACAAUUUAUUUUUUCCUUAGCACUUUGAGACCUGACUCUACCUCUAAAAACAUUUAUUCAUAGAACAAGCAAAGCAACCGUAGAGAACUGACUACAGCCAAGAGUUGUUCUAAGAAGGGUAUUAAAAAGUCUUCACCUCCUACAUUCAGCUGGAGCAAGAACAAGGACAUUUUCUACUUUGGAAAUAGGAGCAAGAGUUCUGAGGGAAGAGCAACUGGUGCCAUUGGUCUCUGGCUUGUCCACUAGCUCAAAUUGUAGAUUUUUCUCCUUUUUACAUUUAAUGUCUAUGGGUUGAAAAAUAAACAAUUUAGUUCAGCUAUGUGGAUCGGCUAAAAAAAAUAAUGAAAGAGCAUAAUUAAAAAUGUACUGAAGUUACUUUAGAAAACAUUCAGCAGCAGUUGCCUAGAUUUUACUUUUUGCUGCACCUAUUUUUUUCUCAGAUAGAAGUGUAUACUCACAUCUAACAAAUAGCUUUUUGACAUUUUUGUUAACCAGUCACUGUACUAGAUGGCAAUGAGUGAAUCAGGAAGAUCUUCUCUACCCUCAUGUGGCUGACAUUCUAGUAGAAAACAUAAACAACAUUAAAUUACAUUGCAAGAAGUAUUUGGAAGUAAGCACUGAGUUCUCUAAGAGUAUAAAACAGGGAGCCAUAACCUAAAAUUGAGUUUGGAGGGCCAUUUUUUUUAAUGACAGUGAUAUGUAAUCAGAGACAAAGAAGAUGAGUAACCAUUGACAGGGUCAGGUUGAGAGGAGGUCCACAAUAAUUUCUGUCAGUGGGAAGAACAAGUAAAAAGUUCUUGCAGUGGUGGGGAGCAUGACACAUUCGAGCUAAUGAAAAUUAUUCAAUGGUUCUAUGAGGCAGAAAGCCAGAGGAAAUGAUCAGAAAUGAAUGUAGAGAGGGAGGGAGGAUCAUAUGCAGGGAUGUUUAGGCUUUGUUAAGAGUUCUGCACUUUAUCCAAAAUACAUGGAGAACCCAUUAAAGAGUUUUAAACUGAAGAAGAGUAAAACGGGAUUUGGUGUGUGUUUGUUUGCUUUGUUUUGAAAGACCAUUGCAGCUAUGUUGUGGAUAAUGGACUGGGGGAGGUAAGAGAAAAUGCUCCUAAACCACGAUGUUAGUUAGGAGGUUUGGUAGAACAGUUAAGCAAACAGGUAAUGGUGGCUUUGAUUAGGAUAGAGAAAAGAUAAUAGAUGCUAAAGUAUAUUUAGGAAGUAGAAUAAAAACGACUUAACAAUGAAUUGAAUGAGGAGUGAGAGUUAUUUUGGCAGCAAAGAUAAAUCCAGAUUAUUGGCAUGAAGGUUGAUGUCUUUUCAAAAUAUCAAGAAAUGUUUUGUGUUAUUUGGUUUGAAAUAACUAAAGACAUCUAAGUAGAGAUUGUAAGAAAUCAGUAGAUAGGGGCCAGCGGUAUAUUUUACACCAGAGGAAAAGUUGGGCAUGAAAAAUAAAAUCUGAAGAGGGCUUGAAACAAAAGCUUAUGGAUGCACAUAUAAAUGUAUAUGUGUAUAUGUUCGCACAUAUGUACUUCCCAGAUGAUUGUUGUAAUAAA
Molecule: long non-coding RNA, 4884 nt
Organism: Homo sapiens (human)
Lineage: Eukaryota; Metazoa; Chordata; Mammalia; Primates; Hominidae
Source: Ensembl